This 285-nucleotide unclassified non-coding RNA is filed under the name Hevea brasiliensis (rubber tree). The record is from RNAcentral. Lineage: Eukaryota; Viridiplantae; Streptophyta; Magnoliopsida; Malpighiales; Euphorbiaceae.
AAAGCCCUUCUCGCGUGCCCGCGUCAGGAAGUCGGUGACAUAGGCGUCGAGCCAGGCAUCGUCGCCGCCCGCCGACCACAGGCCGAACGAACCGUUGGAGCCUUGCCGCGCGAGCAAUCGAUCGAUCGCANNNNNNNNNNAUGCGCUGAUCGACGCCGGUAUCCAGCGCAAGAUGGUUCUCCGCCGCCAGAUCGUUGACAUAAAGCAGCGGCAUCGCGCGGCUGGUGAUCUGCUCGGAGCAUCCGAACGGAUAACGGUCCAGCGCUUUCAGGAUCGUGGCGGCAU